AAAUUUUAAGUACAAAGAUGUUCUUAAACAUUUCUAAUGUAUCUGCCUUGAUGGGCACAAAACUGACUUAGAAGAGGCCACUCUACCGCCCAUCGUCUGGGAUGUGAGGAGCCCCUCUGCCUGGCUGCCCAGUCUGGAAAGUGAGGAGCGUCUCUGCCCGGCGGCCAUCCCAUCUAGGAAGUGAGGAGCGCCUCUUCCCGGCCGCCAUCCCAUCUAGGAAGUGAGGAGCGUCUCUGCCCGGCCGCCCAUCGUCUGAGAUGUGGGGAGCGCCUCUGCCCCGCCGCCCCGUCUGGGAUGUGAGGAGCGCCUCUGCCCGGCCACGGCCCCGUCUGGGAGGUGAGGAGCGUCUCUGCCCAGCCGCCCCGUCUGAGAAGUGAGGAGACCCUCUGCCUGGCAACCGCCCCGUCUGAGAAGUGAGGAGCCCCUCCGCCCGGCAGCCGCCCCGUCAGAGAAGUGAGGAGCCCUUCCGCCCAGCAGCCACCCCGUCUGGGAAGUGAGGAGCGUCUCCGCCCGGCAGCCACCCCGUCCGGGAGGGAGGUGGGGGGGUCAGCCCCCCCGCCCGGCCAGCCGCC
RNAcentral lists this long non-coding RNA (572 nucleotides) under Homo sapiens (human). RNAcentral describes it as "HSALNT0240254". The record is from RNAcentral. Lineage: Eukaryota; Metazoa; Chordata; Mammalia; Primates; Hominidae.